Non-coding RNA from Chrysemys picta bellii (western painted turtle), 1934 nucleotides. Lineage: Eukaryota; Metazoa; Chordata; Testudines; Emydidae. The record is from RefSeq and is a predicted model, not a curated record.
UGAAGAACGUGUAUUAAGGUUAUAACCACCACCAAGAAUGUACUUUUAUGUAGAAAUCCAUGAUUAAACCCAGUCUUCCUGACUAGUGAUUUAGAUCAAUUUGAUUUAAAUCAAAUUCACCCUACUUCUCCCUGAUAAUAGCUAGGGAUAGUUGAAGCUCUGGACAUCUUGGUUGGUUGAUUCUGGACUUUAUUUACAUAUUGCUAUCCUUCAGACUUAUAGGAUGGCUAGGAUUUCAUUUGAAUCAUGUAAAGACUUGUAAAUGCUACACUAUAAUGCAAGUGUACUAUUCCCUUCCAAUAAAAUGGUGCAAAGGAAAACAUGUAUAGACAAUAUUUUGUCCAUAUGCAAUUACACUAAUUCAGUAUAAUACAGAAAACUAAGGCAGAGACUUACUAAAGUUAGAGAAACCACUUUAAAUAUUUCAGCAUCUCUUUCUCAGAGACAAAACACAGACAUGCUAUGGAUGGACACACAACGCCCUUGUGCUUCUUUCUCCUCCUCCUCUUUCAAAAUGGAGAACUCUUCUGUAGUUAACAAGUUUAAGUGCCCAUCCCUGUGUAAUGCAAAGGUCAGGCUCUCUCCUCAGUUAAAUCCCUCAGUAGAUCAUUCUUGGUUGAUAAGGGAUUCAGAAAAACAUUUUCCAAUAAAUAGCCAUAAUAAGAGACAUUUUCCAAUAGUCUAAGGAAGUCUUUGGAUGUUUGUGUGAUGUUUUCUUGCCCAGAUCUUUUAUAGUUAGUACAUAUCUGAUUAUAAUGUUCAUCCUUCUUAGAAACUUUACAUAUAUUCUUAAGAAAACUUAUUGACCUCUUUACAGAGACAAUCCAUUAGUAUCCUGCAUCAUCAUCUAUCUUCCUCAAAGAGAAAGAUCUUAACAAAGUCUUUUAUGACUGAUGGCCAGAACUGCCCACUGUAGCAAACCAGCUAUACUUUCUGUUUGAUUGAAAUGAUAUUGAACAGCGUUUGAAGGAAUGCAACUGUCAGCGAUGAAGACGAAGCUACAGAGAGGUUCCAACCUGGAUCAUGUGGCAGUGAGAAGGAACUGGAGAGGUGGUUGGUCCACCCUGCUCUUUAUCCCCUCAGUCGGAGGCACAAGGACCAGCUGCUCCAAGAAGCAAUCAUUUAAGAUUAAUUACCGUUGGUGGUGAGACAGCUUCAUUUCAUAAGCCAAAUUGACUAUAACAGACUAUAACGUAAGAGAGAAUGAAUUCCUUCAUAAAAACCAACCCACAUAUAGCCAGUACAACAACGGGAAAAUUUAACGACUGAACUAUCAAACAAAUAUCAGGAAUAACAAUCCAUUCCAACAGAAGGCUACCCUCCGCACAUAUUCGAUUUUACAAAAUACAGAACAGUAAUUCACAUAUCUCCCAUGUGUCUUAAUAAACGGUUAUGUAUGUUUACAAACACACACACACACACACACACAAAACCCUACUGUAUAAAUAACAACUAUAAAGAUUUCUGCACUUAUAAUGGAAAAGUACUUGCACCCUUUAAGAUCCAAAGCCAGUCACAUUUCCCAGCACUGGUGGGAGGAACUAAUUUGCAAGAACUAUUUAAGCCUCACUCAAAUGCAGGCAAUCAUUUAGCUGGAGCGGCUCAAUCUCAAGUCCAAGUUUGUAUUCUGGGUGGCUUUAUUUUAUGUUAGGUAACUUAUGUUGUCUAUCAAAAUGCUUUUACUUUUGUAAAUUAUUUGUUUUUAGGCUGCACUGUAAUUGUGAUACUAAUAUAUCUGAAAAAUACUCAAACGUAACAGAGUAUAACUGGUUUUCUAAGACUUCUUUUGGAAGAGAUAUUGAUAAAACUAUGUAAAGAAUGUAAGUACUAAACUUGAAUGUAGUCUGCCACUACUAGCCAUAAAAAUGAAAGGCACUGACUGACUGAACAAACAUACAAACAAGGACUAUGUAUAUUAAACAGAAUGAUUACAA